Molecule: ribosomal RNA, 377 nt
Filed under: uncultured bacterium
Lineage: Bacteria
Description: bacterial SSU rRNA
Rfam family: Bacterial small subunit ribosomal RNA
Source: RNAcentral
AUACGGAGGGUGCGAGCGUUGUUCGGAAUCACUGGGCGUAAAGGGCGCGCAGGCGGCUUGUUAAGUCAGAUGUGAAAUCCCACGGCUUAACCGUGGAAGUGCAUUUGAAACUGGCAGGCUUGAGUACCAGAGGGGAAAGUGGAAUUCCCGGUGUAGAGGUGAAAUUCGUAGAUAUCGGGAGGAAUACCGGUGGCGAAGGCGACUUUCUGGCUGGAUACUGACGCUGAGGCGCGAAGGCGUGGGGAGCAAACAGGAUUAGAUACCCUGGUAGUCCACGCCGUAAACGAUGUGCACUAGAUGUUGGGGGUGUUGAUACCUUCAGUGUCGCAGCUAACGCAUUAAGUGCACCGCCUGGGGAGUACGGUCGCAAGAUUAAA